GAGUUUGAUCCUGGCUCAGGAUGAACGCUAGCGGCAGGCUUAACACAUGCAAGUCGAGGGGUAAGGCUUUCUUCGGAAGGCACACGACCGGCGAACGGGUGCGUAACGCGUAUGCAACUUACCUGUAACUGAGACAUAGCCCCGAGAAAUCGGGAUUAAUAACUCAUAUUAUCCCGAAGGCUCAUGCCUUUGGGAUGAAAGCUCCGGCGGUUACAGAUGGGCAUGCGUGACAUUAGCUCGUUGGUGUGGUAACGGCACACCAAGGCUACGAUGUCUAGGGGGUCUGAGAGGAUGAUCCCCCACACUGGUACUGAGACACGGACCAGACUCCUACGGGAGGCAGCAGUGAGGAAUAUUGCGCAAUGGAGGAAACUCUGACGCAGCCAUGCCGCGUGCAGGAUGACAGCCCUACGGGUUGUAAACUGCUUUUCUGCGGGAAGAACCUUCCGUACGUGUACGGAAUUGACGGUACUGCAGGAAUAAGCAUCGGCUAACUCCGUGCCAGCAGCCGCGGUAAUACGGAGGAUGCAAGCGUUAUCCGGAUUCAUUGGGUUUAAAGGGUGCGCAGGCGGACCUGUUAGUCAGAGGUGAAAGCCUCCCGCUUAACGGGAGAAUGGCCUUUGAUACUGCAGGUCUUGAGUCUAGUUGAGGUAGGCGGAAUGUAGUAUGUAGCGGUGAAAUGCUUAGAUAUACUACAGAACACCCAUGGUGAAGACAGCUUACCAAACUAGCACUGACGCUCAGGCACGAAAGCGUGGGGAGCAAACAGGAUUAGAUACCCUGGUAGUCCACGCCGUAAACGUUGAUCACUCGUUGUUGGCAAUACACCGUCAGCGACUAAGCAAAAGCAUUAAGUGAUCCACCUGGGGAGUACGAUCGCAAGGUUGAAACUCAAAGGAAUUGACGGGGGCCCGCACAAGCGGAGGAGCAUGUGGUUUAAUUCGAUGAUACGCGAGGAACCUUACCCGGGCUUAAAUGUAGCGUGCAUUGGUGUGAAAACACCAUUUCCCUCGGGACCCGCUACAAGGUGCUGCAUGGUUGUCGUCAGCUCGUGCCGUGAGGUGUCGGGUUAAGUCCCAUAACGAGCGCAACCCCUAUCUUUAGUUGCUAACAGG
Molecule: ribosomal RNA, 1115 nt
Filed under: uncultured Bacteroidota bacterium
Lineage: Bacteria; Pseudomonadati; Bacteroidota
Description: bacterial SSU rRNA
Rfam family: Bacterial small subunit ribosomal RNA
Source: RNAcentral